This 253-nucleotide ribosomal RNA is filed under the name uncultured bacterium. RNAcentral's name for it is "partial 16S ribosomal RNA". It matches the Rfam family "Bacterial small subunit ribosomal RNA", at positions 524 to 776 of the family's 1533-position model. The record is from RNAcentral.
UACGGGGGGGGCAAGCGUUGUUCGGAAUUACUGGGCGUAAAGGGUUCGUAGGUGGCCAACUAAGUCAGACGUGAAAUCUCUCGGCUCAACCGAGAAACGUCGGCUGAUACUGCCGUUCUUGAGGGAUGCAGAGGAGACUGGAAUUCCCGGUGUAGCGGUGAAAUGUGUAGAGAUCGGGAGGAACACCGGUGGCGAAGGCGGGUCUCUGGGCAUCUCCUGACGCUGAGGCGCGAAAGCGUGGGGAGCAAACGGG